Molecule: ribosomal RNA, 736 nt
Filed under: uncultured Fusobacterium sp.
Lineage: Bacteria; Fusobacteriati; Fusobacteriota; Fusobacteriia; Fusobacteriales; Fusobacteriaceae
Description: bacterial SSU rRNA
Rfam family: Bacterial small subunit ribosomal RNA
Source: RNAcentral
GAUGAACGCUGACAGAAUGCUUAACACAUGCAAGUCAACUUGAAUUUGGGUUUUUAACUUAGGUUUGGGUGGCGGACGGGUGAGUAACGCGUAAAGAACUUGCCUCACAGCUAGGGACAACAUUUGGAAACGAAUGCUAAUACCUAAUAUUAUGAUAAUAGGGCAUCCUAUAAUUAUGAAAGCUAUAAGCGCUGUGAGAGAGCUUUGCGUCCCAUUAGCUAGUUGGAGAGGUAACAGCUCACCAAGGCGAUGAUGGGUAGCCGGCCUGAGAGGGUGAUCGGCCACAAGGGGACUGAGACACGGCCCUUACUCCUACGGGAGGCAGCAGUGGGGAAUAUUGGACAAUGGACCAAGAGUCUGAUCCAGCAAUUCUGUGUGCACGAUGAAGUUUUUCGGAAUGUAAAGUGCUUUCAGUUGGGAAGAAACAAAUGACGGUACCAACAGAAGAAGUGACGGCUAAAUACGUGCCAGCAGCCGCGGUAAUACGUAUGUCACGAGCGUUAUCCGGAUUUAUUGGGCGUAAAGCGCGUCUAGGUGGUUAUGUAAGUCUGAUGUGAAAAUGCAGGGCUCAACUCUGUAUUGCGUUGGAAACUGUAUAACUAGAGUACUGGAGAGGUAAGCGGAACUACAAGUGUAGAGGUGAAAUUCGUAGAUAUUUGUAGGAAUGCCGAUGGGGAAGCCAGCUUACUGGACAGAUACUGACGCUGAAGCGCGAAAGCGUGGGGUAGCAAACAGG